CAAGGAAUUUUCCGCAAUGGGCGCAAGCCUGACGGAGCAACGCCGCGUGCCGGAAGACGGCUUUCGAGUUGUAAACGGCUUUUGUUGGGGAAGAUAUGGACGGUACCCAACGAAUAAGCCCCGGCUAACUCCGUGCCAGCAGCCGCGGUAAGACGGAGGGGGCAAGCGUUGUCCGGACUCACUGGGCGUAAAGCGUGCGUAGGCGGUACGGAGCGUCGGCACUGAAAGCUCCCGGCUCAACUGGGAGAGGUGUGGCGAUACGUCCGAACUCGAGGCAGGGAGAGGUAUGCAGAAUUCCGGGUGUAGUGGUGAAAUGCGUAGAGAUCCGGAGGAAUGCCGGUGGCGUAAGCGGCAUACUGGUCCUGACCUGACGCUGAGGCACGAAAGCGUGGGGAGCGAACC
This 402-nucleotide ribosomal RNA is filed under the name uncultured bacterium. RNAcentral describes it as "bacterial SSU rRNA". It matches the Rfam family "Bacterial small subunit ribosomal RNA", at positions 355 to 774 of the family's 1533-position model. The record is from RNAcentral.